UGGGGAAUAUUGGACAAUGGGCGAAAGCCUGAUCCAGCCAUGCCGCGUGUGUGAAGAAGGUCCUCGGAUUGUAAAGCACUUUAAGUUGGGAGGAAGGGUUGUAGAUUAAUACUCUGCAAUUUUGACGUUACCGACAGAAUAAGCACCGGCUAACUCUGUGCCAGCAGCCGCGGUAAUACAGAGGGUGCAAGCGUUAAUCGGAAUUACUGGGCGUAAAGCGCGCGUAGGUGGUUUGUUAAGUUGGAUGUGAAAUCCCCGGGCUCAACCUGGGAACUGCAUCCAAAACUGGCAAGCUAGAGUAUGGUAGAGGGUGGUGGAAUUUCCUGUGUAGCGGUGAAAUGCGUAGAUAUAGGAAGGAACACCAGUGGCGAAGGCGACCACCUGGACUGAUACUGACACUGAGGUGCGAAAGCGUGGGGAGCAAACAGGAUUAGAUACCCCAGUAGUCCCUGAGCGGGCUGGCAAGGCGCAU
Molecule: ribosomal RNA, 472 nt
Filed under: uncultured bacterium
Lineage: Bacteria
Description: bacterial SSU rRNA
Rfam family: Bacterial small subunit ribosomal RNA
Source: RNAcentral